UACAGAGGGUGCGAGCGUUAAUCGGAAUUACUGGGCGUAAAGCGCACGUAGGCGGCUUGGUAUGUCGGGUGUGAAAUCCCCGGGCUCAACCUGGGAACUGCAUCCGAAACUGCCUUGCUCGAGUAUGGGAGAGGGAAGUGGAAUUUCCGGUGUAGCGGUGAAAUGCGUAGAUAUCUGAAGGAACAUCAGUGGCGAAAGCGACUUCCUGGACCAAUACUGACGCUCAUGUGCGAAAGCGUGGGGAGCAAACAGG
Molecule: ribosomal RNA, 253 nt
Filed under: uncultured bacterium
Lineage: Bacteria
Description: partial 16S ribosomal RNA
Rfam family: Bacterial small subunit ribosomal RNA
Source: RNAcentral